Molecule: long non-coding RNA, 19463 nt
Filed under: Citrus x clementina
Lineage: Eukaryota; Viridiplantae; Streptophyta; Magnoliopsida; Sapindales; Rutaceae
Description: Citrus clementina (C. clementina) long non-coding RNA (CCLE_LNC000192)
Source: RNAcentral
CAAAGUAUUAUUGUGCUAUUUUUCAUUUCUUUUACAAUCUUAUUAUUACCUUAUACAUAAAUUAAAAAGUUUUUGGACGAUAAAUUUUUGAAGAGUGAUGAUACAAUCACAAAUUCUUGUACAAACUGAUAUGACAUUAAUUCAUUGGUUAAAUGAAAAUAUAAAAUAAUAAAAACAAAACAUGUGGGUCAAGUGAUAUUUAAUUCAACCAAUCUUAGCAUGCCACAUCAGUUUGUACAAAAUAAAUUUGUACAAGAGUUUGUAGCUAUAUCAAAAGAGUUGGGGAUAUUCAACUGUCAAUAUGAGUUAUAAUCUUCAAUAAUAUACAUAAUAGAAUUAAAUUAUAUAAGUUAUGGUGACGUCAAUUAUUUUAAUCUCUAAAAUUUGUCGGUGAUUUCUGUUUUAAUUUACAUGUUCAAUUACGAUCUAUUUGCUUUAUUUUUUUUAAUUUUCCAUUUCAAUUGUCUAUAAUUGAUUGUACAAAAAAUUAGAGUUAGAAUAAUUUUAGCAGUUAAUAAGAUAAAUAAUUGUUCUGUAAUAAUAUGCUACUUUUCAUUAUAUUACUUAUGUGCAUUAGUAUAUUUGCUAACUAGAUUCGUGCAAUUAUAAGGACAUAUUUAAAUUUUUAUAGAACUAUUCGACAUAAAUUCUUUUUAAAAGAAAAAUGUUGAGCAAACCGGUGCUAAAUUUUUUAUAAUCUCAACUCAAUAAUACAUCUAUAACAUUAUACAGUUAAUUUCGUAUUAUUCUCAACUCAAAAGUAAAUCUAAAUCUAUCCAUGUGUGAAAAAAUAAAAAGGAAUAAAACCAACAGUCAAACAUUUAUCCAAUAUUAGAUGUCGCUGGGACAUUUAUGGUUCAAUUUCCUUGAAUGACUUUACAUCGAGAAUUAAUCUAAUUAAUAAGAAAGAAUUUGCCAUAAAGGAUAUCUUCGUUUUAAAAACAUAAAAUAGCAAAAUUAAAAUUACUCUUAACUGAGAGAAAACCAACUAUUAAUUGUGAUUUGACUAGUAUAUGUAUAUGCUUAUAAAUUUGGGAUAUAAAAUUUGUAUUCUAAAUUAUAUGGUACAUGGUGAUUGAUGUGUUAUUUAUUUAUUAGUAUUGUUAUAUUAUCACAUUAAUAAUAAAAUAAAAAUAAACUAUAACAUUUAUUAAUCGGUAACAUGUCAUCCCAAAUACAAACUUUUAACAUGGAAGAAGUAUCAUUAUUAUUAUUUUUAAUGAUUAUUUUUAUGAAUUACCAACUCCAAACUGUAACUAAAACAAAAUCCAAGGGCCACUAGGCCCGUGGCUGAAGUGGUUGGGCUGCUACCCUCACAAGCAUGAGGGCAGCGAUUCAAGCCCCCACAAAAGCAUUGUGGGGGCUAAACAUUAGGGGGGGUAGCCAUCGGAUCAGAUUCGGAUUUAAAGGCAAAUCCGAUUGGAUGAAAUUUGUGUGAUCCGAUCGGAUUUGAUUCGGAUCAAUCUAAAUCAUCCGAUUGGAUUUGCACUGUAAAAAAAAACUGACAAUUAAAGAAUAAGCUAAAUGACUAACGGACUAAGUACUAACCUAAUUCACUCACUCUCAGUCUCUCACUAUCUCUCAGUCACAAACUCACAGACUCACAGGCUCACAGCCAACUCAAAUUGUCAAACAAACGACACAGCGAGCACGAGCAGUCAAGCAAAAGCAAAACGCCAAAACCAGUCUCAUCCCGUCAUCCGGUCAUCCGUCUUGAACCCAUUAAUCCAUCGGCAACCCGCGAGCCCAACGACCACGCCAUUGUCAGCACAUCCUCGUUCGUCUUGAAACUCAGUUGCCGCCGGCCCGCUGACACCAAUUGACCAGAAGCUAGCUAAUUUCGAGCGAAACCCAGGCCAACAAACCUAGUUAAUCGACCCAAACCCAGUUGCCUAUUCAACCAUUGAUCACUUCCAACUGGCUAGUUGCCACACCAGAUUCCGAUAGUCCACUUCCACUAUUCCCGAGCAGCUAGCAACUUUGUCCGUGGUAAGCAAUUAAACCCGACCCAUGACAAUUGAAACAUAGAAUUUCAUGCUUCUUGCCCCCAAACCCGAGAGCAAGUGACUAGCCACUUGGUCACGGGUUUAAGGGUUUUUCUUCCCCUUUCUCUUGCUUUCUUCAACAUUUCUCCAUUCUCUCUUAACCCCUAACACAUCUGUGUCUAUGCGAUUUGUUUGAAACUUGGAAAUAAAAAAAUUUACUAUUCUUCAAUUGUUCUGUUUUUUUUUCCUUUUAUUUUUUCUAAUUUAUGAUUAUUCAUUUGUAACAUUAGUUGAGAAAGACAUGAAUAUGUAUUGAUGUAUAACUAUAAAAUAUAAAUUGCACUGGGAAAGACAACAAAAGAUGAAUUUAUUGUUCAUGUAUUGAAACUUUGAAAUAUACGAUUUGUUCAUAUUUCCAUUCUCUCCACAGUUGAAAUUUUUUCUUUUAAUUUUUUCAUUAUUUCAUUUUCAUUGUCUAAUAAUUCAUUGUUUAAGGAGUUUAGCUGAAUUUUAUUAAUUAUUAAUAAAUUAAGAAACAAUAUCGUUUCAUCAAAAUUAAAAAUUCAAAUUUAUUAAUUAUUAAAUAAUCAUCAUUAUUUAAUGUAUGAUUAUUCAUUUGUAACAUUAGUUUAUUAAUUAUUAAUAAACUAAGGAACAAUAUCAAUUCUUUAAUACUAAAAAUUCAACUUCAUACCGUACGUUGUGGUAGUAGAAUUAUUUUUUGAUAAGUUAAUGUCAUUAAUUGCUUUAUUUCCAAAUAAUAAUUUGAUGAAUGAAUUUGUAUAGGUAAUAAGCUAGGCUGAAGAGAUUAUAUAUAAUCAAAAGUCAUAUUUAUUUUUUAGUUGAAAAUUCAUAAACGGAAGUUAUAGACCAAUGAUGAUUGAUAUGGUUUUUGUAUUUUCAGAUGACUGGACAUUCAAAAUCAAAUUCCAAUGAUGAUGAUGAAGUUGAAAGUGUACAAGUACCCACAGAAAAGACAAAUACAAAGCGCAAGAAGCCAAAUCAGAGAUGACCAAUGAAGAAAAGGUUCGAGACAUGGAAUCAUUUCAGCAUAUUUGAGGACAAUCAAUAUAAAGUAAAGUGCAACCAUUGUGGCAAAAUAUAUCAGUGCCAUCCCAAGUUUGAUGGGAUUAGCAAUAUGGGAACUCAUUUAAAAGUAUGUGAAGCAUACUUGAAAGUGAAGCGAGAGCAAGAUGAAAGACAACAAAAGUUGGCAACCGAGAGUGGUGAAGGAAAUGCAAGUAAUGUGGUUUUGGCCAAAGGAUGGAGUCAAGAAGCUUGUAGAAGGGCAGUCAGUAAAAUGAUUAUCUUGGGCGAGUUGCUGCUUAAUUUCGUUGACAACAAAGGGUUUAGGCAUUUUUGCAAUAUAGUUGUUCCUCAAUUUAUUAUGCCAUCUCGGAGAACUAUUAGUAGAGAUGUUAUGGAUGUGUUCUGGGAAUAAAAUGGAAUUUUAAAGAGUUUGAUAUGUAAGAAUAAUCAGAGAGUGUCUCUUACAACUGACAUAUGAACUUCAGUUUAGAACAUGAGUUACAUGGUAAUCAUAGCUCACUUUAUUGAUAGUUAUUAGUGUUUACAUAGGAAGAUUAUCAAUUUCAGCGUGAUUGAAGACCAUAAAGGGAAGUCGAUUGGCAAAACGAUUAAGGCUUGUUUGCUUGAAUGGGGAAUAGAGAGAGUGUGUGCAAUAACUGUUGAUAAUGUGUCAGGCAAUGAUGUUGCUAUUGAUUAUGUGAAGAACUAAAUGCUUAUGUGGAAGAAUGUUGAUGCACUUGUGUUGUAGUGUGAUUACAUGCAUGUGCGUUGUUGUGCACAUAUCUUAAAUUUGAUUGUCCUUGCGGGGUUGAAAGAGUUACAUGCCUCAGUUGCUAGUAUUCGGAAUGCUGUGAAGUAUGUGAGAUCAUCCACUUCGAGGUUGAAAGCAUUUAAAGAGUGUGUAGAUCAUGUGAAAGGCUCUAAUGGAACUGUGGUUUUAGAUUGUAUCACUAGGUGGAAUUCCACCUAUUUGAUGUUGAUGACUGCUUUGAAAUUUCGGGAGGCAUUUGAGAGGAUGGCAGAAGUGGAUAAACCGCAUGAAGCAUACUUUAAAGAGGAAGAAAAUGGAAAAAAAAAAGGUGGGGCCACCUAGGCUUGAAGAUUGGGAACAUGCCGAAAUAAUUGUGAGGUUUUUAAAGAUCUUUUAUGAUGCUACAUUGACUUUUUCAACCUCUUUGAGUGUCACUUCUAAUCUUUGUUACAAUACAAUUGACAUAAUCAAGAAUUCAUUGAGUGCAUUAGAAAAAAACAAAGAUGUUUAUGUGCAUUUGAUGGCUUUUAGUAUGAGGGAAACAUAUGACAAAUAUUGGGAGUACACGGAGAAAAUCAACAAAAUCUUGAUUAUUGCCUCAAUAUUUGAUCCGCGCUGCGAAAUGGAUUUUACUAAACAUAUUUUUAGUAUGAUUUUUUUCGAUGAUAGUGCGAAGAUUGAAGAAAUGGUUGCGGUGAUGAAAGGCUUGUUGAAUUCACUUUUUGAUGCAUAUAGUGGAUGGAACUCCUCACCACCAUUGCCUAGUAAGAGUUUUCCUAGUGGCAGUGCCAGUGGUGGUGGUGGCGAUUCUAGUCCUUCUCCGCACCUUGUAGAUGACACGGAUCGGCAACAAGGGUACAUAAUGGAACAUGGUGAUGAUUCUUUACGAGUUGCUCGCCCUUUUCUUGGAUAUGCUAAGAAUAUUUUAAUUCAAAAUGAGGGCAAGCUUGUGACAAUCGAGGUGGAAAGAUACUUACUUCACCCGAUUGAAGAUCCUAGUAAUGAUAAACUAAAUGUUUUAUUAUGGUGGAAGGUGAAUGGGUCGAAGUAUCCGAUAUUGCAGAAAAUAGCAAAUGAUAUCCUUGCAAUUCUAGUAUCCACUGUGGCUUCGGAGUCCGCCUUUAGCACUGUAGGUCGUAUCAUUGAUGAAUAUAGGAGUUCUUUAACUCCCAUUAUGAUUGAAGCAUUGAUUUGCACUGAAAAUUGGUUGCAGUCUAAACUUUUUGCCACUCCCAUCUACGACCUUAAUCAAGAGUUGAAAGAUCGUAUAUAUCAAAUGGAGUUACAAGAAGGUAACUUUUUUAUAUUACAUUUUAUAUAUAAUACCUUUUAAAUUUAUUAUAACACAUUUUUUAUAUUACUCAUGCACUAAUUAUAAGUUAUUAGGUUUUUUUCAUUUUAAAGAGUAUGUACAAUCACAAGCUUCAACAAUUACAACGAUGGGUGCUAGUACUCGUCAUGAUAUUUGAAUAGGUAACUCUUAAAUUUAAUAGAUCUUUUGGUUUCAAGGUAUUAUAUUUAUAAUUGUUUUACUUUUGGUUUUAAGUCAAUUGUAACAUGAUAAUUGUUUGUGAUCUUAUGUUAGGAAAGUUGAAGUUGGUAGUUGGAAAGCAAAAGUUAAGGACUCAUCAAAGUGUGUUGUGAGUUUUGAAGAACUUGCAGUCUAUCUACAUGUUUUUGGAUGAUAAUUUUUAUUUUGGUUUAUUUUAUUGUUGGAUGAUAUAAUGAUAAUAUUUAUUUUGUGAUUUUGUGUUGUUUAUUUUUUUGGAGACUUGGAGUAAUGUUUAAUUGUUUAUUUUGUGUUGUUUGUUUGGAGUCUUGGAGUAAUGUGUAUUUUGUGUUGUUUACUUGGAGAUUUGGAGUUGGAGCAAAGUUUAUUUUGUGUUAUUCAUUUGGACUUUGGAGAGUUGAAGCAAUGUUUAUUUUGCGUUGCUUAUUUGGAGGCUUGGACUUGGAGUAAUGUUUAUCCACCUAAAUUGUAAGAGCAUUACUAAUUAAAUGAAAUGGGAGUGUUUGUACAAAAUGAAUGCAUAUGAGAAUAUAAAUGGGCCGUUGAUUAUAGAUAUUAUUAGAUUUGAUUAUUUAAAUGUUUUCAUUUUAAUGGUUUAAAUUUUUUUAUUUUUGUAAAUGGAAACUUUGUAUCGGCUUAUUUUUUUGGUAUAUGUCAAUGCCAUAUUGUCAAUGAAACAAUACAUUGUCAUUUGUUAACUUGCUUUCAUUUUUUUUUAAUGGUUAGUAAAUUUUCAUUAAUUAUAGAUUUCAUAAAUUUUUUGUGAGAAUUGUUAAAAAGGUCCAAAUCCGAUUCAAUAUGAAUCCAAAAUAUAAUCUGAAUCCGAAGUAUAAUCAGAAAUCCAAACUCAUUCGAUUUGAUCCGAAUCCGAGUAAUUCGAAAUUUUCAUUCAAUCCGAAUCUGAUCCGAAUAAUUCGGAUCGAAUUUAAAGUCGGAUUGAAUUCGGAUGAUUUUUUUUUAAAUCUGAAUUAUCUGAAAUCCAAUCGGAUUCAUCCAAAUUCGAUCCGAAUAUGAAAUUGCCCACCCCUACUAAACAUUUAUAAUAAAAAAAAAACUCUUCUCCCUUACGAAAUGCAAGUGGAGCAGGGACAUCCCUCAAUUGUGAGGGUUAUUUCAUCUGGGCAUGCACUUCAUAAAAUUUAAUGUAAUAAUGUAAGUCCCAGUAAUGUAUAUUUGAUUGUAAAUACUAGUGUAAUGUCUACUAUAAAAAUAGUUAUAAAUAUCUAUGCAAUGCAGUAAUUUAGUGCGUAACCAAUAUUAAAAAAAAAAAAUCCAAGGGAACUCACAAGUUAGUGGACCCUUUAAUUUGUUGUAUCAAUUAGAAUGGUUGACGUUGACGUUGACGCACAGCGAUUGUUUCAAAAAAUUUAUACGAAAGCUCUAAGAACCUUAAUUAUAGUUGAAAAAAAUUCACUCCCCCAAUAAAUUAAUUAUGACCUCACUUAAGGAAAUACUCCGCGUAAGGAGAGAAUCGUAAGCAUCCAUCCUAUGUAAUUUAGCAAAAUUUUCAUACAUUGCGGCCAAAUAAUUUGUCAAAGGAAAAGGUGACAGCUGCGGCUUGAGAGAAGAAUAUGACAUGUAUGACACCAAUGACACAAUCAAAUGAUGGAUUGUGUCCAUUUUUAUUAUUGAUGAUUAAUUGUCAAUUAAUAUAAAAAUUGAUUUCCUCAAUUUUUAUUAAUUAAUCAUGAUCCUCAAAUUAUUUUAAUUCUAUUAUUUUUUUUAUGUUUAAAAAACUUGUAUAUAUUGAGUCUUUUUGCCCAUAAAUGAAUAUCGUUUCUUAAAAGUUUUCAAUAUAUCUAUGUAUAUCUUUGUCUGGAUGCCUAGGUAGCUGCUCCGAUUCUGAAAUCAACGGCCAAAUCUCACAUCAAGGAAAUUCAGCUUGUCAAUAAUAAUAAUAUAAGCAUGAAGCUACGAUUUAAUGCAAGUUUAAUCACUGGAUGAUACAUUUAUGAUUUUAUGGACAAAAUAUGGAUAGAGCAGAUACAUCCUCCUGAAAUUAGAGAGUGGAUAUAUAUUAAUAAAGAAAUAAAAAAUUUGGGCUAUACUAUAAUGAAAUUGAUUUAAGUUAAUUUUACUGUUAAUGUAAUUAAGUAGAUUUAUGAUUGUAAUUAGGAAACAUAUAAGUAUUGUGUUGGGUUAUUGGCACCCCUUUAAUCUCCUUAUGAACCCCAUUUUCAGUUAUAUUUAUUUUAUUUUUGAAAAUGUUAUUUUUUUUAAAUAUACUUUUAAUUUUUCAUUUAAUUUUUUUAUUGUUAAAACUCAAAGUAGCAUUGUACUAUUUUUUUUAUUUCUUUUGAAAUCUUAUUUUUAUCUUACACAUAAAAUAAAAAAAAUUUGGAUGAUGAAUUUUUAAAUGUUAAUCAUUGACUUAUAUUAUAAAUAUUUUAAAUUAUAAUUUAAAGGCAAUUUUAAGUACAAAAAAUAUUUAAUCAAUGAGAAAAGAAUAAUAGAGUAAUCUAAAUUUAUAUAAUUUAUUUUAGUUAGAUAGGAAGUAAUAGGUAGAAAACUAAAAAAAAGAGGAUUGAUUAUGAAUAUAAGUAAUUUGUUGAAAAAGUUAUAGGUAAAUUUAAUCUACUGUAAUUCAUGUGAAGUUUAGUUUUGUAAGGAUAAUGAAAGGAUGCCGAUAGCAUCACUCAUGAGUAAUUUUUUUAAAAAGGACGAACAGAAACCUCGCCGACCCCGAGAGAUACAGUGCUCAAGUAGGAAAUUUAUACCUCGCCGACCCCGAGAGACGAAUUAAAAAUAGCGAAACUUCCUCGCUGGGUAUGGAAAAUCCUCGCAGCAGUUUUUGACUAGGAUCAAGACUUGACUCCCACCCAAGAAUUAAUUAAAUAUAGAAUCAACAGUCCACAUAAUAAUUAAGUUAAUAACAAAAGUUAUGAUAAUUAAACUACCACUCAGAACUAUAUAUAAAAAAGUCACAAGAGCAUGUCUAGUGUUGCAUUGAUUCAUAGAAUCCGAAAACAAACAAUAACGAAUGAUAUUAUAGAGAGAAUAAUCUCUGUUCCCAGAAAAUGAGGCUGGCUGAGACAAAACAUGAGCUUAGAGAAUAUGGGAACCUUAAAAGAUCGACUCGCCAAUUCAGAGUUAGCAGAGUACUUAUAGCUGCAAAACGUGUGCCGUCUGUGAACAAGAAGAAGAAACCAAUAGCGCAGUGCUGUCGGCUGUGCCAUCUUAUUCAUCAGCUGGAGAAGUAGUAAGUAGUAUUGCAUGCGCUUGCUACUUUUAUCAAUUAAUUUUCAUCUGUUUCUGUUUUGUCGUUUAUUUACGGGGAGUUAAUUUUAGUUUAAUUAGGGCAAAGAGUCAUGCACUCGAAGUAGUACCUACUAGGGAUUGAUUGCCAUCCUCACUUCAAAUCACAUAUCUAACUCUCAUGAUUAGCUCAUGGGCUUUUCUGACCCACUCUUUAAGGUUUGCACGUACGCUUUUCUCCCGUGAGCUUCGCUUUUUUCUAUUUUUAGGGAUCUGGUUGAGAGUUAAGAGUUUCAGCUGCCCAUUUGUCCCAUGGCUUCUGUGUUAUUUUUUACUCGCCCCAUCUCAUGCAUCUGCCUUAUUCCAUGAAUGCUAUAAAUCUUUUUUCAACGCUGUAAAAGUGAUUUGUAAUAUUUUCAAAUAGUAAGUUUCCACAAAAGUCUUGCGCACCUGAGCAUAAUUUUAUAUUUGAUGUGGUGUUCAAUAGAUAUGUCUACUUUGGAGUAAGAGAAAUGGGUGCAUUGAAAACUUCUAUAAAUAAAAUCAAGUUUAUUUUACAAAAAAUGAAGAUGCCGCAUCAUAAAUUUGAUAUGACAAACAAGCACAGUUAUAUAAAUUGUCUGGGUUUGAACAUUCUUCUCUUCAUAUUGGCAGUAAUUCAACUGAGCAGCCAUUUGUUUCCUCUUCCCCUCGGCAUAUCAUCUUCCUACUCAUAAUACCAUUGCUGAUUGGGCUACUUCAAGUGGAUUAUCAGAACAAAAGUGUAUCUCCUUUUGAUACGCAUCCUGUAAAUAUGUGGAUUUCCUUUGGAGCAGCUCUCAUUUAUUGUUUGGGACUAGCCAUUAAUGUGGAAUCAAAAGAACACCAAGCAAGUUAUUCCCAAAUCACGAGCCAUGUAAUUCUCAGCUCAGGUGCUCUUGCUUCGGCCUCGCUAGCAUCAGUUUUCUUCCCACGCUUGCUUGGGUGGAUUUGUUUGGCCUUAUGGACACUUUUGCCUAUUACGUUAGGCAGGCGCUUAAUCAAACCAAUGUACCAAUGGCUCAAAUAUGGAAUUUUGCAAUUAGUUUCCCAAGUCUACAACAGAUUUAAUCGAUUCUGGCGUAAUUGUGUUACCUUGAAGAACAAAAACUUGCCCAUGUAAAUUUCUCGAAUGUUGUAAUUAUGAAUAAUAAUAGAUUAAUUGCUACAAUUACUAGAUAAUACUUCUCUUGUAGUUACAUUGCUAUGUUUUACGUGUUGUUGACUUGAUUUUCUAUUACCAAUUAAAUCAUUAAUUAGUAAUAGAAAAUCAAGUCAACAACACGUAAAACAUAGCAAUGUAGUAAAAAUCAAGAAAAAUAAUGAAUAAGGCGAAUUCGGGCAACGAAAUCAAAUUUUUUUCUUGUAGUAGGUAACGGCUCCAGUUCCCGCGAUAAAAGUGGGUUAAAAUCAGGUGGUAUUAACCGUAUCACCUGAAGCAGAUGAUUCUAGCCAAUCAAGAUUGGCAGAAAUCACGUGAUCAACUGAACGACUUCCAUCACCGUUGACUCGUUAACCGACGAUACCCAAACAAAAAGAGAAAAAGCCAGAAGCGUACGUACAUGUCAAAGAAAAUCUGAAGACGGGCGUCAAAGCUCUGGUCCGAAAUUUGCAACCAGAAUUCACGGAGCUCCUCUUUCGUAAUUUUGCCUAUCUUUUGGCCUCUCCGCCUCGCUAACGCAUCAAAUAUCCCCACCGCAAACUCCUUCGAAUCCACCAUCCCUGCUUUACUAUGAAUUAUUUAAUUACAAUUUAGAAUAGGAAAAAUGAAAUUAUAACGAACAAAUCAGUACAGAGAAGAAAAUGAAUCUGAUUAUGGAUCAGUUUUAAUUACUACGUAACGUACCAAUGCAUUCACCGAAAUCUUCCCUCGCAAGCAACCCGUCCUCAGAUAGCGAUUUGAACGUAGACUCAACUAGUCUCCGGAGCUCCUCUGCGUCAGAGGCGCCUGCCGCUUUGCUAAUGAAUCUCAGACCGUUAAGCGCUCUCUUAGCGCCCGAUCUUGUCCGUUGAAGUUUCGCUUUGAUCCUCCUCUCAUCGCGCGCGGACAUCGUCCGUUCCUCAAUAUCCGGCGACGAUCCCGAUCUUAGCCAGCCGAACUUCUGCCGGCUGCCUUGGCUCGACCUCGACACUCGCGCGACAGCAGUUGGAGUGCUCACACUGCACAACAGGACGGCGUCGUCUUCGAGCUCAAUCGUGAGUUCGACUAAGUCCUGCGCUUGCUCCAGCUGGUUGUCCCUACUCAAAUCGUUGAGAAAAAUCGGCAACAUUGCUCCGCCCACGCCGUAGUCACUUGUCCUUCGCGACUGCGGGUCUUCUCAGUCAUCUGGUAAUUCAUACGUGCGGCUGUAAUUCGAUAGAGACCGCAUUUUUCAGGUUAGUAAUUUUAUUUUAUUUUUUCCGUUAGCUUCUGUUUCUUCUUCUCCCGAACCUUUUUGAAUUGAUUUUACGCGGUUUUCAGGCUCAGAAUUAAUAUUAAAAAACACUAUUAGAUAUACAUAUAUAAGACAAACAAAACAACCUCAAGUCUCAACACCUGCGCUGUGCUGUGCUUCGCCUCGUCGUGCUAAUGAGCUCAUAAGGGUGACAACGGCUCCUCUUAGCGGUUAUAGUUACUCCCCUCGCCGACAUAUAAAGCUAACUUUUCAAAAUUAAUGUACUCCGAAAAGCAAGUAAUAACAAGAAAUUUAAUACUUAAGAAAAUAUAAUCGAAAUCAUGGUCGUUGAGAAGAGAACUACAUGCAACAAGAAAUCUAAUACUUCGUUAUAUUUUUUAAAUUAUAACAUUGAAAUUUUUAGUAAAUACUUGUUAUUGUGGGUUAUAAGCUAAAUUGAUUUAGUCAUAUCUUUUUAUGAUGAAAAACAUGUAAGAUCUAUACUUUUUUUGUCAAUAUUAUUAUUUUAAGUCAUAUUUACUAUAUUUUAUCAACUUUUAUUUCAUAAUUACAUAUAUGGCUUAAAACUACAUAACUUCAACACGAAACAUGACCUAAUUUUUAGAUAUAAUAGGGAUGGCAGAGAAAGCCUACCAACCUGACCUAGAGUGGUUAAAUCAUGUUUUAUAAAUAUUCAAGCCAGGCUCAGGUUUCACUUUAAAACCUUGAGUUUGAUCCAAAUGCUUGAGAAAUGUUUUAAAAAUUAAAAAGAUAUAUAUUAUUUUAAUCAAAACACACUUUUUUCAUAUAUUUAACCCACCCAUGACGUAUAAUUAAAUCCUAUGAACCCAACGAUUAAUGCAUAAUCUGAUAAAAACAAUUUAUAAAUUAUAAAUUUGUAGAACAUAAUAAAAAAUUUUAAAGAAAUGUAAAAUGUCAAAGUUGAAUUUUUCAGAUCGGCCCGGUAAAAGCCCAACCCAACAAACACACAUGCUGGGACCAGACUCAAGCUUUACCAAACUCCGCCUGACAUUUUCCCAUUCCCAUGACACAUGAAAGAUCAGUUUGGGAGUCCGACAGAGGUGGUGUUUUUGCCCUAUGGCGCUUUUAUUCACAAAUCCAGCCCAAUUCGACAAUUACCUUUACCUAUGGCUUAUUGGGCAGAAUUUGUUGGGGGAAUUUAACAUAAAAUUUUUAGGUAUCCAACCUAAAAGAUUAGUCUUUCAAGCAGAGUGACCUACCACCUUAUAAACCCAAACAUCUCUCAUUUAUUAGUCAAUGUGGGACAUAACUCAAUAAUAACUCAACAAUCCCCCCCUCGGAUGAACCACCGCCGGACUUCGAUCCUUUCGUCCAACACACCUGACUUGUUCCACCAUCAAAUUUCGGCUACUAGGGUCUAGUUCUGAUACCAGUUGUUGGGGAGAUUUAGCAUAAGAUUUCUAAAUAUCUAACCCAAAAGAUUAGUCUUUUAAGUGAAGUAACCUACUACCUUAUAAACUCAAACAUCUCCAAUUUACUAGCCAAUGUGAGACACAACUCAACAGAAUUUUCUUAAGCUAAAAAUCUUGAAAAUGACCACGGAAAUCAUUUGUAUAUAUGUUAAUUGUCAUGCUUAAACUGAAAUUCAGAUUAGGCGCUGCUAGAACUUGUUCCAAUAAACAUGAGGUGAUGAUAUAUAAUUCGUUUUUAAUACAUUAAAUUUCCUUUGUGGUUGUGUACAAUGGACAGAACUAGAGCCUCGAGGUGCAAAAGCUUGCCCCAAUCGUAUUUGCAUGACAACCGGCCCCAGCAUGCAUAAAAGUUAUAAACUAUCAACUCCCACUUUAUAAUCUAUCUUACUAUCUUUUAGAAAUACACUUAUUAAAAAUAAAAAUAAAAAUAUUAUUUUUCACUUAUUUUAUUCUCUUUCAAGUAUAAUCAUCACCUCCACCACCCAUCUUCAUCAUCAAGAAGUUUAUUACCAUCAUCAGCACUACCACCAAUAUAUGAUGAGUUUCAAUUUUCGAAAUAAACAAGUGUUGGAUUUUAUUAUUAUUAAUGACAUUGGUUUUGAUUUUACAUGAUCAUCUAAAAAUUUGGUUAAUUUCAAUUUAAUUUGGAAUUUGAGUAGGAGUUGUUAUUUGAUUCAAAUGGUGAAUUAAUUGAAAAAUGAGAGAGAUGGCGAAGUUAAUCUAUUGAGAGCAUGAGCAAGAAUGAAAAAUAUUAUUUAUUAUUUAUUAUUUUUAUUUUUUACUAAAUAUUAAUUUUAAAAUUAAUAUCUAUUUAUUGAAAAAUGGUGCAAGUGAAAUAAAUUAACGGAUUGAAUCCACUCUAUGUUGAAUUGCAAAGCAUGUGGUACGCAUGACGAUGAUUCUGCCCGGAGUGGCCCCCGUUGUGGGCGCAAGCAAAUAAUUUAUCCUACAACUAUCAACAGAGUAAAUAUAUUCAUUAAAUAUUAGUGGGACAACUUCGUAUAAAACAAAAAUUUGAGUGGCACCAUAAUAAAGAAAAUAUAAGUUAGUUUCAACAAAUUCCGAACUUGUAAUGUUAUCUUUAUUUUCUGGAGUGGGAGUAAGGAGUGCGGAUUCUUUCUACUCUAGUGUUUACUUUACUAAAUUGAGGAGGGAUUGGAAAUUCUACUCCGUGGGCCUCACCCAUUUUUGGAGUGGAGAGUGGGAAUGAGACUUCCAUUGGAGGAGGUGAGAGUGGGUCAUUUUCUACCCUUGUUUUUAAUUUAAUUCAAUUUAAUGUUUUAUAAUUAAUAAAAUAAAAUAAAUAAUAUUAUUAUAUUUAACUAAAUAAUAAUUUGCAUUGAUUCUAAAUUAAAAUUAUUUAAAAAUAAUAAUAUUAUAUUAAUAGAGAAUUAAUAAAUAUAAUAUUAUUAUAUUUAUUUUAAAAAUAAUAGUACAAUAUUUAUUUAAUAUUAAUAAUUAAUAAUAAUAAAUAGUUUAUUCUAAGAAAAUAUUAAUUUUUUACUAAAUAAUAUUAUAUUAUUAUUUUAUAUAAUAAUAAAUUUAAUAUAAUUAUAUUAUAUUAAAUAAAAUAAAAUAAUGUUUCAUUUUAUAUUAAAAUUAAUAAAAAAUUGUGAUGUUCAUAAUUAAGAAUAUUAAUAAUUAUUAUAAAUUUACAAAUAUAAUAAAAUAAAUAUUUAUUCAUUAAAUAUAUUUUUUAUUAACUUUGUAAUUAAAAAUUAUAAUUCUUUAAAUACGGAUAAAAUUGUAAUUUAAAACUAUUUACUCUCAAUCCAAGACAAAGUAAACACAUAAAUUGUAUUCUGAUUUCCAUUCCAUGCUUUCAUUCCAGUGUAAGUAAACAGCUUACUCUCACUCCCACUCCCACUCCAUACUCUCAAUCCUAGGAUUCCCACUCCAAUCCAAAAAGUAAACGCUACCUAAAUGUUUUAUAUAGUAGAACCUCUAAAUAAAAAUACUUUAUAUAGGAAUAAUUUCUUCAUAGUAAUAAAAAAUUGUAAUCCCAAUUUGUGACUAGUUAUAAUUAGGAAUAAAUUUUAUAUUAUAAUAAGUUAUAUUUUUUUUAGAUCUCAUCUUAAUAAACUUACCUCUAUAUAGUAAUAAUAUUUUAAAAAAUAUAUAUGCCAUGUUGUAUUAAUUAAGUAAGAUGGAACAAAAUAUCUUUCUAAAGUUACUUAUGUUGGGAAAAUAUGCUCUUUAAAAGCAUAUGUGUUUAUUUAAUUGUAAUAAAUAAUUUUUCUGAUUAAUAAAAUAAAUGAGGUAUUUUAUUCAAAUAUCUUAAUUGCAUUAAUAUUUGUAUUAAAGUCCAUUUAAUCAUAUUAUAUGUAUUUAUGUUAUCACCAUGUGGAUUCACAGAAGACAUAAAUACAAGUUAUCUUAUGAUUAAAUAAAUUUAGUUCGCAGUUGAUAAAUAAAGUUGGGCACUUUAUUUAGGUAUAGACUGUAAUAAAUUCAUUGAAUGAUUUGUCUUAAUCAUGUAUGAAUUUAUUGAUGUAGUACGACUACAUUGAACAGGAUCACAUGUGAGAUUUAAUUAACUUUGUAAUAACUGUCAGACUUAUUAAAUCUCAUAGGCAUUGAUUUUACUGUAAUCUUAAUCUUGAGUUAAUUAUGAUUUCAUGAUUGUAAUUGUUAUUCCAUUUGAGUUACCAAUGGACACGACACAUCCUUGUGGUCAAGAUUACCCGAUAUCUUGGUGGGAGCAAUUAUGAGUAUUGGAGUUAUGGAUUAAUAAUAUAGAAUUUGUACAACACAUCUCUUGAUAGGUUUUCGGCACUUGAUCAUAGAAUUCUCUGGCCAGAGUGUGUCAACAUAUUUAGUAUGUUGAAAAUGAUCAUUAGAGAAAACCAGUAAGGAUCAAGGAAUAAGAUGUUAUUAAAUUGAUUGAACAGUUGAGAUAUCAAUUUAAUUAACGAUGUGGUACAAAGGAUUGUGCAGUAAAGAAAUCAAUGUGGCUUGGGACGAAUUAUUAUUCGAGCAUACAAUUAUGGAAGUCAGUUCCAAUCUUUUAGUAGAGUAGAUUUGGAAUUAAAUAAUUGGGCUAGUUUAAUUACAGGCCUAAUUAUUGUAGCCACUAUUGUAUGUUCCCAAAUGAUCCCCGGGUUAGCUCAUUUAAUUGACUGCACCACUACUGGACUAAUAAGUAAGAUAACUAGCUAUUUGGGUCAAAAGCCUAAAUAUAUCAUUUAGUGGGAGGCUCCAUUUAAUUAGCUUUUGUAUAAGGGGCCUUAUGUUAUUUUACAAGGUGGGUCCCCUAUUGAAAAAGAAAAUAACGUGAGUUUUAUUUAGGGCAUUAUUUGGAGCCUAGGGUUUUCACUAAAGGGAGAUAUAUAAGGCUUAUUUUCUCUAAAGAAAAAAAAAGAAGCCACUUUAUACAGAUCAGAGAAUAAGAUUUUUCUCUCUAUUAUUGAGAGAAAAAUUUUCUCGUGCUAGUUGCUUUUGGUAGUGAUAAAGGCGCCCACACGUCAAGUGCAGACAGAAUUUGAGUCAUAACCUGGAAGAUCAUUGGUGACAGUUCGUGAUCAAACAAGCGUGGUGGUGACGGAUCGUGAUCUAACAGGAGUGGUGGUGGCGGAUCGUGAUCUACGAGCCUAAAUCACUUCAGCGGAAAAAGCCAACUCGGAUUUUCAAGGUACGAUUUCUAGAAUACAAAUUCUUAUAUAUUAUAUGAGAGCGGUCCUUAAAAAGUUUUAUAAAAAAUUUAAAAACCUGAUUUUUCCCCAACAACUUAUGACAAUGAUUUGUUCUUUAAAAUUGUAAUCACAUCUUUCAAUUCGCGAUUAUGUAUUAAUUGGCCAAUAUAGACAUCUUCUUGCUUCUCAACUAUGUUUGUAGCUUCCUAGCAUCAAACUUUUUGUAUUAGUUUUUUGAAACUAUUUUUUUUAUUAAUAUCUAUCCAUUGAAUUUGACUCACUUAUUAAUUUAUUAAUACAUGACAUAAUUUACCUUGUAUAUCACUUGCAUUAGGGAUAAUUAAGUAAAGACAAUAGUUUUUGUACUAUACUUCUAUUGAGUUAUAACCUCUUUAUAAGAAUAAAUUAAUUUCUUCAGUCCCAACAAUAUGACUAUAUAAAGAUUUUAUUGUAGUAUACUUAUUCUAAUAUUAGUAUUUAAAAAAAUGUAAUUAGUAAGAAAUAAGCCAGUGUAUGCCCAGUCCCUUGGCACCAACCCGCGCACAAGUUUCAGUCCUAGCCGCGUGCUAAGUCUUCUUCUCCUCCUUAUUAUUGAGUAAAUAUCGCUCCAAUUUGGUGAGAUAUAUCAACAUUGAAAAAAAGAGAGCAAGAUAUUAAAAAAAAAUCACUUCUUAUACAUGUACAUAUAUAAAUUAUCAGGUGCAAAUGUCUUGAUUUUUUUUUCAUUUUAAAUGUUGAUACACUAAUAAAUUAUAUGGUCCUAUAGUUAACUGAAUAACGACUUUGUUAAAGCACAUGAUUUAUUAGUGAAUUGAAACUGACUCUAUUAAAUUAUAUGGCACAUAAAAAAAAAAAAAGAUGACGCCUGUAUGCGAGUUUGACUAUAUAUAUGUGUGUAUAAAAUUAAUUUUUCUAUUUUAAAAUAAUUCUUUUAUUCUGCAAAAAGCUAAGCGCUUGUUAGUUAUGAUCGCAUAGUCUACAGUCGACCUAUAAUCAAUUAUUCACUUCACAAAUACAGUAAUUCGAAAAAAACAAAAAGUCAAACCAUUUCAUUCUUAGAUUUUUUUUUUUUCACAUUGAAUUUAGUAGUACUAGCAACUUGCUUAACGUCUUCGCAUUAGUUUAUUCAUUUUACUUUGCAAUAAGAAGCAGUAUAAUUAGCUAUGUAUUGCCAGCAACUUCCAGACCGUUACAAAAAAUUAUAUAUAUGUUUUUGUAUGUUAAGACCUGUAAUUAAAAUAAGUCAUAUUAGUAAUAUUCUAAGUUGCUAAGCAAUCUUGACUUAGUUUGCAUAAAUUGACUCCAAUUCACUUUGCAUGGGGAGAGAGAAACACAAAGCGAGUCUCAUUUUGCUUUAGAAUUUAAAUGGAAGCACAUUUGUAAAGGAAAUUUCGCUUAUCAAGUGAACAAGUCGGUGGCCAGAGCUAUCGAAAUUCAAUGUAGGUUUCGGCUUUAUGAUUAUGAUAGGUAUAGGCAACUUACGAAAUAAGCAAAUGAGAAACGCAUAAUUAAGCGCCGCAGCACAAUUGGAGUAGAAGACAUCACAACAUUCCUGAAUUUUUCUUUUUGUUUUGCUUGAAUAUUCUCAAUCAUGUCUAUAAAAUCACCUUAAUUUUGUUAUAAACUAAUAUAUUUGAUAUUGUUUGAGAAAGAGUAUUAAAAGAGUUGGGGAUAUUCAACUGUCACUAUGAGUUAUAAUCUUCAAUAAUAUACAUAAUAGAAUUAAAUUAUAUAAGUUAUGGUGAAGUCAGUUAUUUUAAUCUCUAAAAUUUGUCGGUGAUUUCUGUUUUAAUUUACAUGUUCAAUUAGGAUCUAUUUGCUUUUUUUUUUAAUUUUCCAUUUCAAUUGUCUAUAAUUGAUUGUACAAAAAAUUAGAGUUACAAUAAUUUUAGCGGGUAAUAAGAUAAAUAAUUAUUUUGUAAUAAUAUGCUAUUUUUCAUUAUAUUACGUAUGUCCACUAGUAUAUUUGCUACCUAGAUUCGUGCAACUACAAGGACAUAUUUAAAUUUUCAUAGAGCUAUUCGACAUAAAUUCUUUUUAAAAGAAAAUGUUGAGCUAACCAGUGCUAAAUUUUUUAUAAUCUCAACUCACAAAUACAUCCAUAACAUUAAACAGUUAAUUUCGUAUUAUUCUCAACUCAAAAGUAAAUCUAAAUCUAUCCAUAUCCAUGUGUGAAAAAAUAAAAAGGAAUAAAACCAACAGUCAAACAUUUAUCCAAUAUUAGAUGUCGCAGGGACAUAUAUGGUUCAAUUUCCUUGAAUGACUUUACAUCGAGAAUUAAUCUAAUUAAUAAGAAAGAAUUUGACAUAAAGGAUAUUUUCGUUUUAAAAACAUAAAAUAGCAAAAUUAAAAUUACUCUUAACUGAGAGAAAACCAACUAUUAAUUGUGAUGUGAAUAGUAUAUGUAUAUGCUUAUAAAUUUGGGAUAUAAAAUUUGUAUUCUAAAGUAUUUGUUACAUGGUGAUUGAUGUGUUAUUUAUUUAUUAGUACUGUAAUAUUAUCACAUUAAUAAUAAAAUAAAAAUAAACUAUAACAUUUAUUAAUUGGUAACAUGUCAUCUCAAAUACAAACUUUUUACAUGGAAGAAGUAUCAUUAUUAUUGUUAUUAUUAUUAUUUUUAAUGAUUAUUUUUAUGAUUUACCAACUCCAAACCGUAACUAAAACAAAAUCCAAGGGAACUCACAAGCUAGGGGACCCUUUAAUUUGUUGUAUCAAUUAGAGUGGUUGACGUUGACGUUGACGCACAGCGAUUGUUUCAAAAAAAUUAUACGAAAGCUCUAAGAACCUUAAUUAUAGUUGAAAAAAAUUCACUCCCCCAAUAAAUUAAUUAUGACCUCACUUAAGGAAAUACUCCGCGUAAGGAGAGAAUCGUAAGCAUCGAUCCUAUGUAAUUUAGCAAAAUUUUCAUACAUUGCGGCCAAAUAAUUUGUCAAAGGAAAAGGUGACAGCUGCGGCUUGAGAGAAGAAUAUGACAUGUAUGACACCAAUGACACAAUCAAAUGAUGGAUUGUGUCCAUUUUUAUUAUUGAUGAUUAAUUGUCAAUUCAUAUAAAAAUUGAUUUCCUCAAUUUUUAUUAAUUAAUCAUGAUCCUCAAAUUAUUUUAAUUAUAUUAUUUUUUUAUGUUUAAAAUACUUGUAUAUAUUGAGUCUUUUUGCCCAUAAAUGAAUGUCGUUUCUUAAAAGUUUUCAAUAUAUCUAUGUAUAUCUUUGUCUGGAUGCCUAGGUAGCUGCUCCAAUUCUGAAAUCAACGGCCAAAUCUCACAUCAAGGAAAUUCAGCUUGUCAAUAAUAAUAAUAUAAGCAUGAAGCUACGAUUUAAUGCAAGUUUAAUCACUGGAUGAUACAUUUAUGAUUUGAUGGAAAAAAUAUGGAUAGAGCAGAUACAUCCUCCUCAAAUUAGAGAGUAGAUAUAUAUUAAUAAAGAAAUAAAAAAUUUGGACUAUACUAUAAUGAAACCCCAUUUUCAUAUAUAUAUAGUAGAUAUAUAUAUUGGCACCCCUUCAAUCUCCUUAUGA